RNAcentral lists this ribosomal RNA (253 nucleotides) under uncultured bacterium. Its description in RNAcentral is "partial 16S ribosomal RNA". It matches the Rfam family "Bacterial small subunit ribosomal RNA", at positions 524 to 776 of the family's 1533-position model. The record is from RNAcentral.
UACGUAGGGGGCAAGCGUUGUCCGGAUUUAUUGGGCGUAAAGAGCGUGUAGGCGGUUCGGUAGGUCCGUUGUGAAAACUCGAGGCUCAACCUCGAGACGCCGAUGGAAACCAUGUGGCUAGAGUCCGGAAGAGGAGAGUGGAAUUCCUGGUGUAGCGGUGAAAUGCGCAGAUAUCAGGAAGAACACCCGUGGCUAAGGCGGCUCUCUAGUACGGUACUGACGCUGAGACGCGAAAGCGUGGGGAGCGAACAGG